Molecule: ribosomal RNA, 494 nt
Filed under: uncultured bacterium
Lineage: Bacteria
Description: partial 16S ribosomal RNA
Rfam family: Bacterial small subunit ribosomal RNA
Source: RNAcentral
GACGAACGCUGGCGGCGUGCUUAACACAUGCAAGUCGAACGGUGAAGCGCCUUCCUUUUUGGUGGGUGUGGAUGAGCGGCGAACGGGUGAGUAACACGUGAGUAACCUGCCCCCUUCUUCUGGAUAACCGCAUGAAAGUGUGGCUAAUACGGGAUAUUCUGGGUCUGUCGCAUGAUGGGUCUGGGAAAGAUAUUGUUUCGGUGGGGGAUGGGCUCGCGGCCUAUCAGCUUGUUGGUGGGGUGAUGGCCUACCAAGGCGGUGACGGGUAGCCGGCCUGAGAGGGUGGACGGUCACACUGGGACUGAGACACGGCCCAGACUCCUACGGGAGGCAGCAGUGGGGAAUAUUGCACAAUGGGCGCAAGCCUGAUGCAGCGACGCCGCGUGAGGGAUGGAGGCCUGCGGGUUGUGAACCUCUUUCGCCAGUGAAGCAGGCCUGCCUCGUUUGUGGGUGGGUUGACGGUAGCUGGAUAAGAAGCGCCGGCUAACUACGUG